GGACUAUAGCUAAGCGGUAGGGCACCUCGUUUGAUGACCGAGAAUGUCUACGGUUCGAAUCCGCAUAGUCCCA
Molecule: transfer RNA, 73 nt
Filed under: Leptochilus hemionitideus
Lineage: Eukaryota; Viridiplantae; Streptophyta; Polypodiopsida; Polypodiales; Polypodiaceae
Description: tRNA-Val
Rfam family: tRNA
About the family: Transfer RNA (tRNA) molecules are approximately 80 nucleotides in length. Their secondary structure includes four short double-helical elements and three loops (D, anti-codon, and T loops).
Source: RNAcentral